RNAcentral lists this ribosomal RNA (459 nucleotides) under uncultured bacterium. Its description in RNAcentral is "partial 16S ribosomal RNA". It matches the Rfam family "Bacterial small subunit ribosomal RNA", at positions 338 to 795 of the family's 1533-position model. The record is from RNAcentral.
CCUACGGGAGGCAGCAGUGAGGAAUAUUGGUCAAUGGGCGGGAGCCUGAACCAGCCAAGCCGCGUGAGGGAAGAAGGUACAGCGUAUCGUAAACCUCUUUUGUCAGGGAACAAAAGCGGGGACUAGUCCCCGGAUGAGGGUACCUGAAGAAAAAGCAUCGGCUAACUCCGUGCCAGCAGCCGCGGUAAUACGGAGGAUGCGAGCGUUAUCCGGAUUUAUUGGGUUUAAAGGGGUCGCAGGGGGGUUGUUAAGUCAGUGGUAAAAGCCCGGGGCUAAACCCCGGCGAGCCGUUGAAACUGGCGGGCUUGAGUUGGAGAGAGGUACGCGGAAUGCGCGGUGUAGCGGUGAAAUGCUUAGAUAUCGCGCAGAACCCCGAUUGCGAAGGCAGCGUACCGGCUCCACACUGACGCUGAGGCACGAAAGCGUGGGUAUCGAACAGGAUUAGAUACCCUGGUAGUC